Camellia sinensis is the source of this 1077-nucleotide non-coding RNA. The record is from RefSeq and is a predicted model, not a curated record. NCBI's taxonomy places the organism in Eukaryota, Viridiplantae, Streptophyta, Magnoliopsida, Ericales, Theaceae.
CAACACUCAAUGAAUUGAGGAAUUAUCCAACCAAUUGAGGAUGAUGCGAGCUCAACUUACAGAAGCACACAAGAGACUGAGUUGCAACUUUGAAGCUCAUAUUUGUUAAAUGUUGUGUUGAUGCUGGUUUAGGUGUUUGAGGUAAUGAAAAAGCAAGAGGAGAUGAGGCUGACAGAAUUGACUACAAAAGGGGCAGAAUUUAAAGCUAUGCAAGCUGAAGCUGAAACCGUAUGAUUGCCAUUUCUCUAUCAAUUUUUUAUUGAAUUCUCUGCAUUUUGGUAAUUCAUAGUGCCUCGUGAGAAAUAAAAUGAAAAGGGAAGUAGCUUGUUCUGCCUUAGUUUCAUGUAAUUGUGAAACUGAUAAGCCAACUCCUUUACAUUGGUUCUAUUGGGUCUAAAUUUAAUCCACGCACCAUACCAGCUUGGGUUACUAAGGGAUAUUCAGAAGAGAGGAGAUUGAUGAAUCAAUCCCAUUUGGCAAUCCUUAAAAGCAUAGACGUUACAAAGAGAGUAGUAGCCAGAAUGGUUGGUUGCACCUCUGUAGUUCACCAAAUUAGGCUUUCCAACAGCUCAAACAUUACCCAAUUGACUAAAAACUGGCUCAGAGGAAACAAACUUAGCUAUCACUCUCAGGAGCUCUAGAGUCCACAAGGCAAAGAUAUUUUUGAUGAGUUAAAAAAAUGGUCUUUUUCAGUUUUUUUGGUUCUUCUCAAUAUAUGGAAAUUUGUUUUUUGAACCACAUGCAAAUUAAGGCUGGUAACCACAGAUGUGAGUAAAAUUAUUUUGAUAUGUAACAAUGAAUUACCUUUUGCCUAAAGGCGGUUCUAAAAAAAAUUAUUAUGUUGGGAUGUUGGAAUAUACUUCAAAGUCAAAGGGAAAUUAGCAUUACUUGAAAAAAAAACUUGUGGUAUGUAUUCUGGAUAGGGAACUUUAUGAUUAUGAUUUCUAAUGAGUUAUUUUUUUCUACUGAAUCAUUUUUCUAUUUUGGAAUGAUUGUUGUAUUCAUAGGUGUAUUAAGUAGGAUACUCUAAAUGACAUAGACAAGUACUUCAAUUAUUUGUCUUUUUUAUUACUUUAG